UAAACCAUUUCCCAAUCGUCUCUUUCUAUCUCUAUCUCCCUCUCUCUCCUUACCUCUCCUCAUCCUCUCCAGCGUACAAUUAAGUCCCCUCCUCUACCUCUCUUUAAUUUUUCUUUAUCUUCCCAUUCUCUCUCUCAAUCUCCCUAUCUUGCCCAAACCACCAUUCGGAGAGGUUGAUAGACCAUUAGCCAUUAAGGGCAUUGCUGAGGAUGUCAAUGUAGGUGAAUCUAGGUACCAUGGAUCAAGGCAGGCUCGAGGAUUUGUUGAUGAGGAGUCCCACGAAGAGGGCUCAGAGUACGAAUUGAAUAGGUCCGAUUAGCCUUGAGAGUUCCUUCUUUCCACCCUCUGGUAUGAUUGUUUUGUAUGUAAAUUGGGGAGACUGUAUUUUUUAAGUAUGGGGCCGGGGGACUUCCUCUGAUAAUUAGUAGUAAUAUGAACUUCUAAUUUUAUUUAUUAGCUUCUUAUUUUUUAUUUGCUUAGUUAGUAGAAUUAGUAGUAUAGUAUAUUUGUAUUAGUUUUAGUAGAUGAAUUUGAAAAAAAUCAAAUAAAUUCAAAAUUCAAAAAAUCUAGAAAACCUUUGGACUUUUCCCGACGAUCGAUCUUUUGGACAACUUUAUUGAGGGAUUAAUGUUCAAUGAAAAAUUCAAAAAUAUUUUCUUUUUUUAGUUAGUCGUAGGUAGAUAAUACUCCCUUGGUUUUUCUUUAAGAUCGGUUUUUUUUUCAAGAGAUGUAACUUGAGCCAACUGAGGAAAAAAACUUAGUGUUCCUAUAUGCCUUUUGACAUGUUUGAUGCUAGCAUAGUUAGGACAUAGCAUGCAAUUUACCUUCAUGGCAUGUUUUGAGAUAAAAUUGAUGUCGUGAAUAAAUUGAAUAGCCUAUUUGUGAUGCCUUCUCUAUGUUUCUUGACUCGUUGUUCAUGUAGUGCUUUAUUGCUUAAUAUGUCUUGACUUUGUGAUUACUUGCUUUAACUUGAGAGUUGAAAUGGAAUCGCCUCGACGGCAGUCAUGUGCAAUGUGUGAUGUGGGCUCUUGAUUAUAUUUUGUGCUAUCCUAUGUUAGUCUAGAACUUUUUUCGUGUGUUAGUCGAAGCAAAAUAAUUAUGUUUUGUGAGUCUAGGAUAUAACAUAGGUAUCUAUUUGAUUGUUCAUGGAGCUAUUACGCCACCAUAUAUAAAAUUAUCCUUUAUUAGGCCAUUUGAGCAUAUAAACUUUUUCUUUGGCACCCAUAUUACAAGAUGGUUUCCAUUUUUUCUUAAUUGAAUCUUGUUGAACCAUGGCAUUCGAAAGCAUUUAAGUCGCUAGAAGAGCAAGGUCAGAGUAUCUUUUAAGUGGAUCCAUAGAAAGGCCAAAAUUUGCACGUAUGUUUUGAAAGAUCAUUAGACGGGAACACUAAAUUUAUGGAGAGUGUUGGAAAAAAAGUAGAAAAUGAAAAUACAAAAAGAGAAGAAAAAUGAAAAAUAGAAAAUACAGCUCUAAUUCGCCUUAAUUCUGGCUAGUGAAUGUAUAGAUGUGCUUAAAGAAAAAAGGGCCAAAUUGUGUAUGAUUUCAUGGAAUAAAUUUGGUAUGAAGAAUGGAUACUUGAAAGUUAAGUGUAGUGGAUUAAAGUUCAUAGGAGGGUUAGUCCCUAUACCCAAAAUAUAUCCUACCUAUCCCUUAGCCAAUAUUACAACCCGUAAUGACCUAGUUGAUCCUAGGUUUCGCGAGCUUAAAUUAAUAGAGACAUACACUACGGGCAAGCCUAUGGUACGACCUUGGGAUGCACAUGAAAUUCUUUGUGAGAGUGAGUGAUUUCUUUUAUUCAUGAUAUCCUUGAAUUCACAUUUGAAACUCUUGAUUUGAGUGUGUACAACAUAUUCUCUUGUUCUUUGGCGAGGGAACAUGAUUAUUAACUGUUUGUGUAGCUUGGCAAGCCAUCCCUCAUGUGUUGUUGAAGUCAGCCCCUAUUUGGCAAGCCAUCCCUUACGGAUUCUCGAAGCUAUCUUGGCAAGCCAUCCCAACUAGGUUGUGAAGCCAUCCUUUUUAGGGAACUUUCGUAUCUAUAAUUUAGUUUGUUUUCUUUGGAGUCUCUUACUCUAUUUGGAAAUUAUUUGCCAACUGGAAUGGAUAGAUGACAUUAUUAAAUUUCUCUUGCUGGGUGAAUGCAUAAGUUAAGAGUGCUUAUUGGAGAUGAGUCGGUCUUUGAGGUUGGGUGGUUAUGGGAAUGUUGUUUGAAUUUGAAUAUACUUCAGCAUGUGAAAGUUGGGAUGUACUUGAAUGCAUAUGCAAUGGCUUAAUUGUUGGUAUCAACCAUGAUCAUAGGUAUAAUACAUUGAAUUUCUAAAUGUUCCUCCAUUGUAUGAUAUCUUGUGUGGCAUUGUUGGGUUAGUAAAGUGUUAGCUUGCUCGAGGACAAGCAAGAGCUUAAGUCUGAGGUGGCAAUGUUUGGUUAAAAAUUUCAUAUUUUUUGCAUGUAAUUUACCCUGCAUUAUGCCUCGAUCUAGUUCACUAUGGAAUGAAUAUUUAUGAAUUGAGCAUAAUAAUGGUGCUUAUAUGUGUAGGAGGCAAUUGGAAGUGAUUUAAAAAUAUUGUGAGCAAAUUAAAGCCAAAACGGAUGAAAAUUGAGGGAGUAUGACUUUGGUAUCAAGUUGGAGUCUUGCCACUUUCAAAAUGUAGGGAAGCAGAGCACAAAAGUGGGAAAUUUUGGGCGCCCAUCAUAGGGCCAGGCGCCUCCCACGUCGCUAUUGGUAGCAUAGUAGAAAGUUGGCGCACAACUUGGCUCCAGACACCUCUCAUGAUGCCUUAGAGGUAAUGUUUUGCAGUAGUAGUCUUAGUGAAAAAAACCAUCAUUUUUUAUUAUCUUGGACAAUUAAUUAUUUUUAGUUAGCUUAGGGAAGUAAACAUACCCAAUACAAUAUUUUGUCUUAUCAGUUACUGUCACGAUCCAAAAUCCCACCUCAGUUCGUGAUGGCGCCUAGCCGUACUUGCUAAGCAACAUAACUCGCAACUAAUAGAAUAUAAUCCAAUUUUCUUUAUUUAACAUAGUUAGAUAAUAAAUAAAAGCAAGAAUAAUCUCAAACAGUAAAAUAUCUCAUACAAGUAAAACAUGGUCUAAACACGUCCAAAACAAUACUACCCCCAAGAACUAAGUGACACGAGUACACGAGCAACUACAUAAUAAGUACAAGUCUGAAUACUUGAACUGUCUGUGAGAAAGAAAAUAAACAGGAGAUAAAUAAGGACAAGGACUCCAUCUGCUGCGGAUCGAAGCAGUGUAGUAGCUCACCAUGAAAGCCCUAAUAACACGCUCCUACUCAGCUCAAAAGGUAUCAUAAUGCCACUCUCAAAACUUGUACAAAUAUGUACAAAAACUUACUAUAAGUAUACCACACUCGGUGCCAGUAAGUAUCAAGUCAAACCUCGAGGAAGUAGUGGCGAGAUUAGAUGCAUCCGAAUACUUACAACACAAAAACAAUACAAGCCUGAAAUUGGAACAGUAUAUAUCCUCAUGAUCAAUAGGAAUAAAGAUAUAAAAAUAUUCGAAAGACCUAAAGCAUGCUUUUUCAAUUUACAGAUAAUCAUAAUGUUGCCCAACUAUGGCAUGUAAAACUGGCAUGCUUCAAUCAACAGAGUCGAGGCUCCCAACUAGUAUGUAUGCAUGGCGUGCAAUAGUUAACAUUUAAAUGAAUGCUUCUAAAUGAAUCCAUAAUAUGAAUGAGCUCAAACCAUUAUAAGAUCCAUGCACCCCGAUACAAGAUCCAUGUAUCCCGAUACACAAUCCAUGUAUCACAACAACCCAAUACAAAUUCAUGUCGACCCAGUACAAAAUUCAUGUACCGACCACACUUACAUGGCCUAAAGUAACAUGGGCAAUCACCUAUCUCCAGAGGGACGAUACCAAUCCAAGCACAAAGAGAGGCAUAUAGAAAACCCUCAUAAAUAGAGUUAUAAUUUUUAAUCUAUCGCUAACAAAUAGUAGCUUGUAUCAGGAGUGAUGGUACGUCUUUAAUGCUAGACUCUCGAACUCCAUGACUGCUCUUUUCCAAAUAUCUACAUGCAAGGUGGAGAAAUAUAGUAUGAGUACAACUGACCCCAUAUACUCAGUAAGUAUCUUCACUAACGUCGGUGAAGUAGUGACGAGGUGUUUAAGUCAAAAGAUACUCACUAAUAUAACCUAUUUAGUUAAAUUUGCAAUAGAAACAACACUAGAAAUAACAAAGUAGAUUACAAAAACAAUUACGAAAAGUAGUAAAUGAUUAACUAAAAGAGGUAACAGUCAGUUUUCUCAAUAUCACAACCAAUCCUUUUCUAACAUCUCAAUUCAUAAGUUUAAAGCAAUAACCACUAGAACAACAUAGUAAACCCACGAAUCUUCAUAAUAUGAGGAAUAUGCUCAAUAUAUCAAUUAAAUGGCACGACAACACUCUUCGUGCAUUUAUCUCAUCCUCACAAAAUAUAUGCAUGCAUAUCAAAUUAAUUGGAAUGGAAACACCGUUUGUGGAUUUAUCUCAUCCUCGCCAAGAAUAUGUAUAAUAGUACCAACCAGAUAGAAGGAAUACCAACAACAGUAACAACGAAGUAGAAGGUACACAGAUAACAAUAACAAAUAAGGCAUAAGUGUAUGGAUAACGGUAACCGACAAGGUAGGAUGAACAUAAGUAACGAUGGAAAAUAAGAUAGGAUAACAUAGAUUUCAAUAACAAACAAGGUACAAGUUUAAAUAAAACAACAAUAAAUGAGCGAAGACAUGGAUGUAAAUAUAACAAAUAAGAAGGAAGCAUGAAUGUAACAAAAUAAUAGAUAGAAGGCAUGGAUAGAACAAUAACAAAUAAGGUUAAAUGCAAAGACAUGAUAACAAUAAGCAAUACAAAAAGAAUAGGUGCAACAAUAACAACUCAAGAUAAAGGUAUGAAGGUAUACGCUAUGGAUAAAUAAUAAAAUAUAAUGCAUGUCUCUCAUCUUCGGCUGCAAGGAAUAACCUUCAUGCCAUCAAAUAUCAUCCUCACAUUAUAAUAUAAAAACAAUAGCAUGGUGUUACUCUUCGUGUUUUACUCUCUUCCUCAUAUGAGAAUGUAAAAACAAUGGUCUACAUCACCCUUCAUGUGUUUACUCGCUUCCUCACAUGACAAUAUAAAACAAAUGACAUGACAUCUCCCUUCGUUCUUUAUACUCUUCCUUACCAAGCACAUAUACAUCAAAACAAGUAAGUUAGGAAGCAUAGAUAACAUCAAGAAGAGAGGUUAAGCAAAAUAUACCAUAUGAACGACACUCACGUCUUUUGCACCAGUAAAAAAAUCAAUAAACUUCAAGAACCCCGUGUUUCAAGUACCUCAAUAAAGCUCAAGCAUGAUAUUCAAUAUAAGUAUGGAACUCAAGUAUCUCAAGAAUAACAGACAUAGAUAUGUAUUAGUAAUUUUGGUAUAGUUAUGAACGAAUUUAGCACAUCAAUAUUUUCACAAAGAGUCUAUCAAAUUCAAUCAAGUUGUAGUAAGCUAAAGCAUGGUCUUUGACAUUACAAUUGUACUCAUACUAUUAUAAAAGUCAAGUAAAACAUUAGGCAAGAAAAUCACGAAGUCCAACAAGGCACUAAGAAUCAUAUAAUCUACCCCAAAUAUGAAUAACCCUGACACAUGCAUAUACACCCAUCACCUUGCAUAUACAUUAUCCACGCAUAUAGCAAACAUUAUCAUUUAAUUAGGAAAACAUCUCUCAACAAAGCUAGGCAAGAUACUUACCUCUUUCUGGAACACAAUAAACUAUCCAAGAUGACUUUUUUUUAAAGCAAGUCUCCAAACCAAUCAAAUCUACUCAAAUAUCGUUCAAAUAAUUCAAAACAAGCUUUAGAAACUACCCUCGAAUGAAAAAGGUUAAAUCUUUAACAUAAUUGGAAAAGUCAAUAUGGGUCCACGUGAUUGAAAUAUGAGAUUAAGACCAAAUCCUGAUUACAUAUUCACCCUAAGCACAUGUAUGUGAUUUGUUUCGAAAUUCAACCUCAAUUCGGGGUCUAAAUCUCAAUUUUACAAGCUUUCUAAAUUCUACCCAAACUCUCCAAUUUCUACUUUAAAAUUCAUAGAUUUGAUGAUGAAAUUCAUGAAAACGAUUUCUACAAACAAUUCGGUCAACCAUCAAUCAUAGAUAAUUCAGAUUAACAGGUGUAAUUACUGUCAUGACCCAAACUGAAGGGCCAUGACUAGCACCCGACCACACUUGCCGAGCACCAAUGCACAUUUCAUCUAACCUUCAUUAUUAUCUUUUAGGGCUGACGAGAUCAAUAUAAAUGGUAGACCUAGAUCAUAGACAACCAGCAAUAAAAUAUGACGGCAUGAACAUACAUAGCAGGGGAUGACCAGACAAUCAAGAAACUACAUAUAAGGUAUGAGCUACCACGCUACUAUGAAAGACUAUACAACAAAAACUAGCCGACAAGGCAUACCAAACUAUACAUGAGCCGACACCUGUCUAUGAGCCUCUAAAAGAACAUAAGUGUUGCAACAUAGCCGGAACAGGGCCCCGACAUACCCAUAAUGUCUAUAACAAAAAUUGCAUACCAAGACCAAGGCAAGUCCGGAGAANNNNNNNNNNNNNNNAACUCGUUUGACUUUAAGACUUAUGAUACGGAUAUUAUAUGAUUAAAAUACCUUAAUAAAUGACCUCUUGAUUGUAUUAAGCACUAUUAGAUUACCUGAAAUUACGAGUUACAACAUCCUUGAUUCGUUUAACUUCUAAUACUGGUUAAUCACCCUUAUACACUCUUGUAUCACUUAAGACCAAUAGGAUUGACUUCUUAUCAUCUCAAAGAUAAUUCCUUCUUGGAUUUAUGUUAACUAAUAUAUGACAUGAACUAACACAUGUGGAUAUGGGUUGUAACAAUUACGAACCCAAAAGGAUUAAUAAUCCGACCACAAACCCCGAAUAUCCAUCUCAUUUAAUUAAAAUUCAACCACAAUAGCUUUCUUCUUAUUAAUUUAGUUGUUUACUUGUUUAAAUUUCACAAUAGUAGUCCUAGUAGAAAAAACCAUCACUUUUAAUUAUAUUGAAUAGUUAAAUAAUUUUAGUUAACUUAGUUAAUAAUUAUUCCGAGUCUCUAUGGGUUCGACAUAGGACUUUCAAGUCACUUUAUUACUUGGCGGCCACGUAUACUUGCGUGUACUACGGUAACCAACAAAUAUUUGGUGUCGUUGUCAGGGACUUAGCAAUUGAUAGUUUAAUUGAGUUAAUUUUAUAAGUUUCCUGUUCAUAUUUUGACUUGUUUUAUUUACACGAUCUGUCUCACGUACUUGUGAAAUAAAUGUCAGAGAAGAAGGAUGAGGGUAAAUAUAAACUUGAACCCUUUGAGAAUAAACAUGAGACACUCUUCUACCUAAAUAAAAAAAGCAACAAAAGAAGCAAAAGAAGCUAAAGCACAACAAGAGCGGCAACAUAGGUUAAGGAAACCAAAAAUCAAUAAGCAAUUGUGGAACUUUCAAAAUAUGAAAGGAUGACAGACAAUCAAGAACUACCAGGGAUCGCAGCUACAAUGCGUAGCCUUGGAAAUGUGACACAAGCCAUUAUCAAGCCAACCAUCACCGGCCAUUUUGAGCUAAAAUAAUACAUGGUGCAACUCCUACAAUACCAAGGUCAAUAUGUAUAGUUGCC
This 7608-nucleotide long non-coding RNA is filed under the name Nicotiana tabacum (common tobacco). Its description in RNAcentral is "long non-coding RNA (NTAB_LNC002718)". The record is from RNAcentral. Lineage: Eukaryota; Viridiplantae; Streptophyta; Magnoliopsida; Solanales; Solanaceae.